UAGGCAAGGGCGUGAUCUACUGUGGU
RNAcentral lists this non-coding RNA (26 nucleotides) under Rattus norvegicus (Norway rat). The record is from RNAcentral. Lineage: Eukaryota; Metazoa; Chordata; Mammalia; Rodentia; Muridae.